Molecule: long non-coding RNA, 458 nt
Filed under: Homo sapiens (human)
Lineage: Eukaryota; Metazoa; Chordata; Mammalia; Primates; Hominidae
Description: HSALNT0394147
Source: RNAcentral
CUGACAUCCAUGUAAGAUGUGUCUUGCUCCUCGUCUUCUGCCAUGAUUGUGAGACUUCCCUAGCCACAUGGAACUUGGCUGCAUAUACCGGCACAUGAUUUGAUGAGAGAAGAAGAUUCAGAAAGAGAAAACGAGUUUAAUAUUAUACUUGGGAGGAAGAGCCUUCCCUUGGGCCUCAAAGCAUCUACCAGUAAAUCCUUGAAACUGAAAAGGGCCAGCCGGCUCAUUGUCAGGAGAGGAGAACUAGAGGGCUUUGUGGCAUAGCAUCUUGGAGGGAAGAGCCCCCAGGCAGAGCCUGGAUGUGGACAGCUUUCCAGAGAAAAGAGCAGGCUGCCAGGAAGAAAGCCAGCUGGGAGCAACAGUCCCUCAUGGCUCCAUUGUGUUUGAAAGUACAACUAACCCAAUGCUCAGCACAAAGAAUUUAUUAAAUAAAUGUUUGUCAAAUUGACAUGUGUCCU